This is a long non-coding RNA of Oreochromis niloticus (Nile tilapia), 805 nucleotides long. RefSeq lists it as uncharacterized. The transcript has 2 exons. NCBI's taxonomy places the organism in Eukaryota, Metazoa, Chordata, Actinopteri, Cichliformes, Cichlidae. The record is from RefSeq and is a predicted model, not a curated record.
UUGUUUCUUCUCCUCUUAGUUGAGCUAGGUGGCUAGCUUGCAGACGAUCUUUUCAUUCGCCGAACAAGCUUCAACAUCCUGGCCCUUCUCCAUUGGAAGGAUUUGCGUAGUGGUGUGAUUUUUUUUCUCAGUCGGUUUCGGCGUUGGAAGAGCCCCACUGUCAGAACAGACGGGAGCUUUUUGCCCCGCCUCCUUUGUUCUGAUUGGCUAUGAUGGUGUACGCCUACACAGAACUCUGCGCUCCACCGGACAAAGAAAGUGCCAAUCUUGAUAGAACGACCUGUUGAUUGGAUGACGUCUUCUGCGGGAGGUUCAGGCGAAUCUACCUUUUUUUUCCUUUCUUUUUUAACCUUACGAGAGUACACCGGCCUUGCGCAGAUAGGCGGGUAGUCGGAGGAGACGCAGUACGUCAGUUCAACCUAAAUCAACUUUGGAGUAAUGAGACAUAUACCGGAACUCAACCUCACGUCCAUCUAAUGGGAUGGAAAGGACGGAUACAGGAAGAAGUGAUUGCUUUCAUGUUUACAUAACUGCUUGACGAGAGAAGAUGAGCAGCAGCUGCGUGGUCAGUGGUGAGAAGACGGGCCAAGAUGGAGACUAAAGACAACGAUGUGUUGCCACAUGAAACACCAAUAAUCUUCAGUUUGGGAAUUCUUAGUCUAAAAAAGCCUGACCACAAUAUUUUCUUUAGCGCAUGCUGCUCACAGUAGCUUAUACAACUCUUAAGCUUUUGCUGUGAUAAUUCUUUUCUGACAGUCGCAUAAAAGAUGUGUGGGUGUGCAUAAAUGACUGAUAUAUCUUUAAA